Molecule: long non-coding RNA, 1756 nt
Filed under: Salmo salar (Atlantic salmon)
Lineage: Eukaryota; Metazoa; Chordata; Actinopteri; Salmoniformes; Salmonidae
Description: lncRNA (ENSSSAG00000005607.2)
Source: RNAcentral
GCUCAUUCCUCUGGCUGAAAGCUCAGGCCAUGUGUUGAAAACGUCUCCAGGGAGAUGCCAUUCAAACUAUGCUGUUCUGCUCCCCACCCACACUAUCCUCAACUCUUAUCAAGAAGAACUAUGAAGAGCCUAGGACUUAAGCAAAACAUCUGUAGUCCUAGAUCAGUGAGGAGGAAGGUGAGAGCUGCAUUCUUGCCCUGUGGAGGUGAGGUCCAUUGGAGGAGAGAUCUGCUGCUCGAUUGGUUCCCACAGCCUAAAAAUAACUGGCAGUUUAAAAUCAAGGGGAUGAAUCCAUCUGCAGUGCCUAAACCAAAGUGAAACAGAGUCACAUGAGGCGGAAUGAACAAGGAGUGAACACGGAGGCCUAGUCAUAGGCAACAAUGACUCAGACCUAGAGGACCCAAUUUACCCACCCGCUAGCUCUGAGACAAAUACUCAUUCUUCUCCAUAUUCACAACUAUUUCGGCACAUAACUUCACAUUCUGAGAACUUGGUUUACCACUUCUCAAAAGUGCCAUGAGUUGUGUUGUAUAGUAUAAGAAUAUGGACCAAGAACAAAUCUUGUUUUUGAUUAGGAUACAGGUUCAUACCGUUCCCACACGUGAAGAGUGAGAACAACAUGAGUAAGAUAUUGGUACAGAGCCAAUAUUGGGCCUUCUUCAGCUCUUAAAGGGAAAAAAUAACCCUUGUGGUCAACCAAACUACAAAUAUUUGCCUGGCGCGGUUUGCUGUAGUCAUCACAAUUCUUUGGUGGCAAAUGUAGUUGCUUUUUCCUUUUAGGUUCUAGAUAACAAUUGUUUUUAAAGAGUGCACCACAAAUCAUGUCGUCACAAAGCUGAUUGGGGGAACAAGGGCCAGUGUGACAGAGGUUUGCUGUAGUCAUCACAAUUCUUUGGUGGCAAAUGAAGCCUUGUUUUUUCCAUUUGCUAUUGACGAUAAGACACACAUCUUUAUCUCAUCCUCAAAUAUGAUAGAUAACAUUUCCAUAACACAAUGAAAUAGGACAAACCUGAGUAAACCUGAGGAGCAAUUGGUUAUACAUCACAAGGCAGGCACCUGAUUGGUAGAUUUAUAAGUAGCGUCAUAAAUAACGACAUCAUACGAUAUCGUCUGAUUGGUGGAAUAAUGGCCAGUGUGAGUCCCUGGUUUACAGCCUUACCCCUAGGCGUGUGUUGUGCCAUGAGACAGGACUGAUUUAUGGAGCUGUCUUUGAUUGGGCAAGUCUCUAAGCUGGUGAAACAGGUUAUACUGUCCCACAGCAGGGACAGAACACAUCAGAGUUUUACCUGGAAGUCCGGGUGGGGCACAGGUAGGGACGAGGCCCCACAUGACACAAAAUCCACAGGACAACAAUGAAUCACCUGUCAAAAUGUCCCAGUGAUAUUCGAUCUAGAGUACUCAACCUAAGCAUGAUGAAACCAUGCAGAUUACUACAUUGUUCCAAUGGAAAAGUUCACAAAUUUGCAAAGUAGUUUCUUUAUGUCAUGUGUCACAAUUCAUCGUCCCUCAACAAUAGUGGGAGAAGCAUUCCUUGUCAUACUAUUUUCAAAUAUUGAACUCUGUGACUGAGUUAAAAUAGCUGUCAAGACCUAGUACACCCUAUUGAACCACUCGCACAUUUCAGGUCAGGAUAGUGAAUGGUGGGGAUGCGGCAGAGGCUUCAUACAGGUAAUAACACACAGACAAACACGCACGAGCACAAACAACUGACCUUUACGCUGGUAAUGUUCUCUCAGUAACAAAAAUAAAUAAAUCC